GGGAUAACAUUUGGAAACAGAUGCUAAUACCGCAUAGAUCCAAGAACCGCAUGGUUCUUGGCUGAAAGAUGGCGUAAGCUAUCGCUUUUGGAUGGACCCGCGGCGUGUUAGCUAGUUGGUGAGGUAAUGGCUCGCCAAGGCGAUGAUACGUAGCCGAACUGAGAGGUUGAUCGGCCACAUUGGGACUGAGACACGGCCCAAACUACUACGGGAGGCAGCAGUAGGGAAUCUUCCACAAUGGACGCAAGUCUGAUGGAGCAACGCCGCGUGAGUGAAGAAGGCUUUCGGGUCGUAAAACUCUGUUGUUGGAGAAGAAUGGUCGGCAGAGUAACUGUUGUCGGCGUGACGGUAUCCAACCAGAAAGCCACGGCUAACUACGUGCCAGCAGCCGCGGUAAUACGUAGGUGGCAAGCGUUAUCCGGAUUUAUUGGGCGUAAAGCGAGCGCAGGCGGUUUUUUAAGUCUGAUGUGAAAGCCCUCGGCUUAACCGAGGAAGCGCAUCGGAAACUGGGAAACUUGAGUGCAGAAGAGGACAGUGGAACUCCAUGUGUAGCGGUGAAAUGCGUAGAUAUAUGGAAGAACACCAGUGGCGAAGGCGGCUGUCUGGUCUGUAACUGACGCUGAGGCUCGAAAGCAUGGGUAGCGAAAAGGAUUAGAUACCCUGGUAG
RNAcentral lists this ribosomal RNA (667 nucleotides) under uncultured bacterium. Its description in RNAcentral is "bacterial SSU rRNA". It matches the Rfam family "Bacterial small subunit ribosomal RNA", at positions 140 to 793 of the family's 1533-position model. The record is from RNAcentral.